GAUGAACGCUGGCGGCGUGCCUAAUACAUGCAAGUCGAGCGAACGGACGAGAAGCUUGCUUCUCUGAUGUUAGCGGCGGACGGGUGAGUAACACGUGGAUAACCUACCUAUAAGACUGGGAUAACUUCGGGAAACCGGAGCUAAUACCGGAUAAUAUUUUGAACCGCAUGGUUCAAAAGUGAAAGACGGUCUUGCUGUCACUUAUAGAUGGAUCCGCGCUGCAUUAGCUAGUUGGUAAGGUAACGGCUUACCAAGGCAACGAUGCAUAGCCAACCUGAGAGGGUGAUCGGCCACACUGGAACUGAGACACGGUCCAGACUCCUACGGGAGGCAGCAGUAGGGAAUCUUCCGCAAUGGGCGAAAGCCUGACGGAGCAACGCCGCGUGAGUGAUGAAGGUCUUCGGAUCGUAAAACUCUGUUAUUAGGGAAGAACAUAUGUGUAAGUAACUGUGCACAUCUUGACGGUACCUAAUCAGAAAGCCACGGCUAACUACGU
This 496-nucleotide ribosomal RNA is filed under the name uncultured bacterium. RNAcentral's name for it is "partial 16S ribosomal RNA". It matches the Rfam family "Bacterial small subunit ribosomal RNA", at positions 28 to 506 of the family's 1533-position model. The record is from RNAcentral.